Molecule: transfer RNA, 63 nt
Filed under: Thrips hawaiiensis
Lineage: Eukaryota; Metazoa; Arthropoda; Insecta; Thysanoptera; Thripidae
Description: tRNA-Cys
Source: RNAcentral
AGUUUUGUAGUUUAUAAAAAACAUAAAAUUGCAAAUUUUAAAAAAAUAUAUUAUUCAAAACUU